UAAUCUCUUUGUUCUCUCACGGGGACGAAUCGACGCCGAGCGUGGAUGAACCGACGCCGACGAUCGCCGGUGUAGGUUCAUUGCCGGUGCUUUGCAUUCGGAUCAUUGCUUCGUGUGAGUAGAGCUUCGAUCAGGAAGGGGGUCCUAGCCCUAGCCUCGAUCCUCCUCUGUUCUUGGUGUUGUGCCCUAGCUCUGAAUUUCACCUCCUUGUCAGAGCAAUGGGGUUCCGACAAUGAGACAGCGAGGGUUACGGGAUUGGAGAAGAAGAAGAGUGAGGUUUUGUUCUGUGGGGAUUCGAUUGAAGAGGUGUUUAUUGAGUUGUGGUUUGUGCUUGAUCAGUAGUGUUUCCG
Molecule: long non-coding RNA, 350 nt
Organism: Zingiber officinale
Lineage: Eukaryota; Viridiplantae; Streptophyta; Magnoliopsida; Zingiberales; Zingiberaceae
Exons: 3
Source: RefSeq, a predicted model, not a curated record